CCUACGGGAGGCAGCAGUGGGGAAUAUUGCGCAAUGGGCGAAAGCCUGACGCAGCAACGCCGCGUGGGGGAUGAAGGCCUUCGGGUUGUAAACCUCUUUCAGCAGGGAAGAAGCGAAAGUGACGGUACCUGCAGAAGAAGCACCGGCUAACUACGUGCCAGCAGCCGCGGUAAUACGUAGGGUGCAAGCGUUGUCCGGAUUUAUUGGGCGUAAAGAGCUCGUAGGCGGUUAGUCACGUCGGAUGUGAAAUCCCGGAGCUUAACUCCGGGCCUGCAUUCGAUACGGGCUGACUCGAGUGUUGUAGGGGAGACUGGAACUCCUGGUGUAGCGGUGAAAUGCGCAGAUAUCAGGAAGAACACCGGUGGCGAAGGCGGGUCUCUGGGCAACUACUGACGCUGAGGAGCGAAAGCGUGGGGAGCAAACAGGAUUAGAUACCCUGGUAGUCCACGCCGUAAACGGUGGGCGCUAGGUGUGGGGAACAUUCCACGUUCUCUGCGCCGCAGCUAACGCAUUAAGCGCCCCGCCUGGGGAGUACGGCCGCAAGGCUAAAACUCAAAGGAAUUGACGG
This 568-nucleotide ribosomal RNA is filed under the name uncultured bacterium. RNAcentral describes it as "bacterial SSU rRNA". It matches the Rfam family "Bacterial small subunit ribosomal RNA", at positions 338 to 916 of the family's 1533-position model. The record is from RNAcentral.